RNAcentral lists this ribosomal RNA (282 nucleotides) under uncultured bacterium. RNAcentral describes it as "partial 16S ribosomal RNA". It matches the Rfam family "Bacterial small subunit ribosomal RNA", at positions 333 to 612 of the family's 1533-position model. The record is from RNAcentral.
GAGUACCUACGGGAGGCAGCAGUGAGGAAUAUUGGUCAAUGGGCGCGAGCCUGAACCAGCCAAGUAGCGUGAAGGAUGACUGCCCUACGGGUUGUAAACUUCUUUUAUAAAGGAAUAAAGUGAGGCACGUGUGCCUUUUUGUAUGUACUUUAUGAAUAAGGAUCGGCUAACUCCGUGCCAGCAGCCGCGGUAAUACGGAGGAUCCGAGCGUUAUCCGGAUUUAUUGGGUUUAAAGGGAGCGUAGAUUGGUUGUUACGUCAGUUGUGAAAUUUUGCGGUUCAA